This 253-nucleotide ribosomal RNA is filed under the name uncultured bacterium. RNAcentral's name for it is "partial 16S ribosomal RNA". It matches the Rfam family "Bacterial small subunit ribosomal RNA", at positions 524 to 776 of the family's 1533-position model. The record is from RNAcentral.
GACAGAGGGUGCAAGCGUUGUUCGGAAUUAUUGGGCGUAAAGAGCUCGUAGGCGGUCUGUCACGUCGGAUGUGAAAGCCCGGGGCUUAACCCCGGGUCUGCAUUCGAUACGGGCAGACUAGAGUGUGGUAGGGGAGAUCGGAAUUCCUGGUGUAGCGGUGAAAUGCGCAGAUAUCAGGAGGAACACCGGUGGCGAAGGCGGAUCUCUGGGCCAUUACUGACGCUGAGGAGCGAAAGCGUGGGGAGCGAACAGG